Molecule: transfer RNA, 73 nt
Filed under: Pseudoeurycea rex (royal false brook salamander)
Lineage: Eukaryota; Metazoa; Chordata; Amphibia; Caudata; Plethodontidae
Description: tRNA-Ser
Rfam family: tRNA
About the family: Transfer RNA (tRNA) molecules are approximately 80 nucleotides in length.
Source: RNAcentral
AAGGGAGUGGCAGAUUGGUUAUGUGGUUGACUUGAAAUCAAAACAUGGGGGUUCAAUUCCCCCCUCCCUGGCG